RNAcentral lists this ribosomal RNA (477 nucleotides) under Tithonophasma tithonus. RNAcentral's name for it is "partial large subunit ribosomal RNA". It matches the Rfam family "Bacterial large subunit ribosomal RNA", at positions 1920 to 2611 of the family's 2925-position model. Lineage: Eukaryota; Metazoa; Arthropoda; Insecta; Phasmatodea; Pseudophasmatidae. The record is from RNAcentral.
UGAUUUAAUGGCCGCGGUAUUCUGACCGUGCAAAGGUAGCAUAAUCAUUAGUCUAUUAAUUGUUGACUUGCAUGAAUGGUUGGACGAGAUAUUUACUGUCUCAUAAUUAUUAAUUGAACUUAAUUUUUUAGUUAAAAAGCUUAAAUUUUUUUGAAGGACGAGAAGACCCUAUAGAUCUUUAUUAUAAUUAUUAAUAUAAUUUUUAGUUUAUUAUUUAUAUUUUAAUAAUUAUUUUUUUGUUGGGGUGACAUGGAGAUAGAAUUAACUCUUUAUUUUUUAUACAUUAAUUUAUGUUUUAUUGACCCUUUAUUAUUGUUAUAAGAUAUAGAUACCUUAGGGAUAACAGCGUAAUUUUUUUUGAGAGUCCAUAUCGACAAUUGAGAUUGCGACCUCGAUGUUGGAUUAAGAAUACUUUAAGGUGUAGAUGCUUUAAAAAUUAGGUCUGUUCGACCUUUAAAUUCUUACAUGAUCUGAGUU